ACGUCGGUGGUUCAAUGGUAGAAUGCUUGCCUGCCACGCGGGCGGACCGGGUUCGAUUCCCAGUCGACGGA
This 71-nucleotide transfer RNA is filed under the name Trichobilharzia regenti. It matches the Rfam family "tRNA". From Rfam's summary of the family: Transfer RNA (tRNA) molecules are approximately 80 nucleotides in length. Their secondary structure includes four short double-helical elements and three loops (D, anti-codon, and T loops). Further hydrogen bonds mediate the characteristic L-shaped molecular structure. tRNAs have two regions of fundamental functional importance: the anti-codon, which is responsible for specific mRNA codon recognition, and the 3' end, to which the tRNAs corresponding amino acid is attached (by aminoacyl-tRNA synthetases). tRNAs cope with the degeneracy of the genetic code in two manners: having more than one tRNA (with a specific anti-codon) for a particular amino acid; and 'wobble' base-pairing, i.e. permitting non-standard base-pairing at the 3rd anti-codon position. The record is from Rfam by way of RNAcentral. Lineage: Eukaryota; Metazoa; Platyhelminthes; Trematoda; Strigeidida; Schistosomatidae.